This 1378-nucleotide long non-coding RNA is filed under the name Homo sapiens (human). The record is from RNAcentral. Lineage: Eukaryota; Metazoa; Chordata; Mammalia; Primates; Hominidae.
GAAGUUUCCGGUUCCGGUGUCAGCGGCGGUUGAAUUGCCAUGGCAAUGCGGUGGGCGCGCGCUUGUCGUGUUGGUCUCUUGGGAGGUAGCGGGGCUAGGCCGGGCGGGUAUCCGCCUCUCCCAGCUUAGGUGAGCGUCCCCGGGCGCCUCCGGAGCGCCGCGGCCGCAUGCAGUUCGUCGUGGCGGGGAGCCGGAGCCUGACCGGGGUUCCAGCGCUCGGGCCGUAGCCUUGGCUCCUGGACUUUCCCUGGCUCCGCCGCCACGUGGGAGCUGAGGCUCUGGGGCUUCCGCCUCCGGCGCGCGAUUAUUUCUCUAGAACAGUUUUCAUUUUUAAAAUUUGUAAAGCGCUUUUGCCUGUGUGAUUUCCUCUGGGUUUUUUUUUUUUUUCUUCCUUUUUGUAGAGACGGAAUUGGCGGCGGGGGCGGGGGGUCGAUGUCUCACUUUUUUGCCCAGGCUGGUCUCGAACUCCUGGCUUCAAGGGAUCCUCCUGCCUCGGCCUCUUAAAGUGCUGGGAUUACAGGCGUGAGCCACCGCCCCCGGCCGCCUCUGAGUUUCCAGCCUCGUUGGCCCUCCAGCCUUUUAACCUGUUGGGCCUAGGAUCAGGAAAGGUUUGUUGAAUGGGGAACUAAGAAGUGAAUUCGUUCGUUCGACAAACGUUUCCUGAGCAGCCGCUGGGUGCUAGGCGCAGUGCCAGCGCGGAAUGUCCAGGGAGACCUGGUGCCCAAAGCUUGGACCCAUCGUGAGAAAUGAGAAGCAGAUACAAAGCAGUGUGGGAGUGCAGAGGAGACAAAGCAAGCCUCAUCAGGCCCAUUGCUUGCUCUGCUCUCCCUUGUACUUACCAGUGCUUGACAAUAUACAGUUAUUUACUAGCUUGGUUAUUGACUUCCUACCCAGCACUCAGUUUUAUUCACUGCUGUAUCCUCAGUGCCUAGGACGAUGCUUGGAACGUGAUUCAUUGAUUCCAGGUAAAUCAGAGGAACAAGCAACAUGAACAGAAAUAUGUAGAAAAAGCUAUUAUGCAGAAGCAUAAUUGUUGUUUCAGAAGUCCAGCAUCUGGUGCACUUAACAAUAGAGAAUAUAUUAAACUCUUUCCAAAAUAACCUGUUGUUCCUACCUGUGUUGUAAGUGUUUUGUUUGUUUUUAAGUAAAUAUUGGUGAUUUGUUGCCAAAAACCUAAACUGUUUGUUGCUGUCAACUUAAAUAACGAACAGAGAGAGGCUCUCUAAAAGAAAAUGGCAUUUAUUCAGGAAUAGAGCACUGCAAUGAGAAAAUGCAUGCGAUAGUUAACUGUGUGUAUCCUGGGAGAUAGAGGAAGACAAAGGUCUUUAAAGGAAAAAUGAGGAGGGUUACAUAAUUGUUUUGAGAUAAUUAUUUUUGA